AUAUUAUUUUGGCAGAUUAGUGCUUUAAAUUUAGAAUUUAAUUAUGUGGAUUUUUUCACAGAUAAUAC
RNAcentral lists this transfer RNA (68 nucleotides) under Vanderberghia speluncarum. Its description in RNAcentral is "transfer RNA-Leu". The record is from RNAcentral. Lineage: Eukaryota; Metazoa; Arthropoda; Insecta; Coleoptera; Leiodidae.